UACGUAGGUGGCAAGCGUUAUCCGGAAUUAUUGGGCGUAAAGCGCGCGCAGGCGGUUUCUUAAGUCUGAUGUGAAAGCCCACGGCUCAACCGUGGAGGGUCAUUGGAAACUGGGGAACUUGAGUGCAGAAGAGAAAAGCGGAAUUCCACGUGUAGCGGUGAAAUGCGUAGAGAUGUGGAGGAACACCAGUGGCGAAGGCGGCUUUUGGCCUGUAACUGACGCUGAGGCGCGAAAGCGUGGGGAGCAAACAGG
RNAcentral lists this ribosomal RNA (252 nucleotides) under uncultured bacterium. RNAcentral describes it as "partial 16S ribosomal RNA". It matches the Rfam family "Bacterial small subunit ribosomal RNA", at positions 524 to 776 of the family's 1533-position model. The record is from RNAcentral.